Long non-coding RNA from Saccostrea echinata, 334 nucleotides. RefSeq lists it as uncharacterized. The record is from RefSeq and is a predicted model, not a curated record. The transcript is spliced from 4 exons. Lineage: Eukaryota; Metazoa; Mollusca; Bivalvia; Ostreida; Ostreidae.
UCCCUUCCAAGUAGAACACGUGAAAUGUGAAAGCAGGGGUUUGAAGAAGUGUGAAAUCCUUCAUUUUAUUGGUCAAGCUGGUGCAACGCUACCAUUUAUACCAUGCUGCUGCAUGCACCAUGUGUGGAAGAAGAAAGAGCCUUCAAGAGGAAGAUAUUUAGAUCAUUCAUGGAGUGUUCUGAAAACAUCAAACAAGGAGAUUAUUGAAGAUAUCCUUCCUACAAAGGUGUUAAAAUUAGCAAGACUCGGAGUUCCUGUGAACGUGUUGAAACUAGCAUGAAAUGCCUUUCUCAGAACCAAAGCCAGAGUUUUACAUUUAGUCAUGACAUUCAGC